RNAcentral lists this ribosomal RNA (471 nucleotides) under Triticum aestivum (bread wheat). Its description in RNAcentral is "partial small subunit ribosomal RNA". The record is from RNAcentral. Lineage: Eukaryota; Viridiplantae; Streptophyta; Magnoliopsida; Poales; Poaceae.
AUGGUUGUCGCGUCUUGGCAAAACAAGGGGAUCUUGGCGUCCAUGCAACUGGCAGCGGAGGUGCACGAAACCAGUGGCAGAGGACAAGCCGCAGCCAUGGCUCUCAAGACCGGCAAUGACGGCAGGGGAGGACGCCUACAGAUCGCGGGUGAAGAUUGGGCGUGGAAGGAGGGAGGCAAGUUAGAGCAGCAGCGUGAGAUGCAGCGAGGUCAUGGGGCGCAGGACUUGGACGCUGGCUGCAGAGAAGCUCGGGGUAGGGAAAGCAGCCACCAUGGGGAACGGGAGGAGCUCGACUCCCCUUUGGCAUUGCAGGCUGCUGGUGGAGGAGACGGACGGCAGUGGCCUUCUGGUCGCCGGCAGGGGCGGCUAGAGCCAAGGAAGAAGGAGGCCGAGGCGCGGGGGUGCUCUGCGAGGAGAAGCAAGAGGAGAGGUGGCGCGGGAGGCAGGCACUCCGGCGUGGACGAGCGCUAG